This 354-nucleotide long non-coding RNA is filed under the name Pan troglodytes (chimpanzee). RNAcentral's name for it is "long non-coding RNA NONPTRT004330". Lineage: Eukaryota; Metazoa; Chordata; Mammalia; Primates; Hominidae. The record is from RNAcentral.
CCCAGAGAGACAGUAUUGCUACUGACCCCUGUAAAGGAGAGCCAGUCACCUUGAAGGCCAGCAGGGGGGAUCCAGGAACCAGCUUGUGCCCAGAGGGAAAGAGUUAAGCUGCUGACUCUGACAGAGCUGGCCUUGCAGGCCAGGGAGUACAGCUUCAGGCAUGGGGGUGGCAGGAGCCACAGAGCCGGCUGCUGAUAUGAGACACAGCUGGAGCAGAAAGCUGAGUUAAAGGCGGACAGCAAGAGACAGCUAGCUUUGAAUCCAAAGACUUUCAGCUUGCAGAAUUUGCUCUUCUUCCAGCGAGGCUCACCUUUUCAUAUUAAGGCCUUCAACUAAUUAGAUGAGACCUACCCA